AGAGUUUGAUCCUGGCUCAGAACGAACGCUGGCGGCAUGCCUAACACAUGCAAGUCGAACGAGAUCUUCGGAUCUAGUGGCGCACGGGUGCGUAACGCGUGGGAAUCUGCCCUUGGGUUCGGAAUAACAGUUAGAAAUGACUGCUAAUACCGGAUGAUGACGUAAGUCCAAAGAUUUAUCGCCCAGGGAUGAGCCCGCGUAGGAUUAGCUAGUUGGUGGGGUAAAGGCUCACCAAGGCUACGAUCCUUAGCUGGUCUGAGAGGAUGAUCAGCCACACUGGGACUGAGACACGGCCCAGACUCCUACGGGAGGCAGCAGUGGGGAAUAUUGGACAAUGGGCGAAAGCCUGAUCCAGCAAUGCCGCGUGAGUGAUGAAGGCCCUAGGGUUGUAAAGCUCUUUUACCCGGGAAGAUAAUGACUGUACCGGGAGAAUAAGCCCCGGCUAACUCCGUGCCAGCAGCCGCGGUAAUAC
RNAcentral lists this ribosomal RNA (472 nucleotides) under uncultured bacterium. Its description in RNAcentral is "bacterial SSU rRNA". It matches the Rfam family "Bacterial small subunit ribosomal RNA", at positions 8 to 526 of the family's 1533-position model. The record is from RNAcentral.